Long non-coding RNA from Oncorhynchus tshawytscha (Chinook salmon), 3350 nucleotides. The record is from Ensembl. Lineage: Eukaryota; Metazoa; Chordata; Actinopteri; Salmoniformes; Salmonidae.
UGUAAAACUAACAAUGACUCAAUAACCCAUGCAUUCUGGGAAUGUUAUGAUGUCAUAAAGAUACGGGCGGAGUUGGAACGUUGGCUGUCAGAAGUAUUACAAUGUAAACUUCAUUUUAAAUCCGUCUGUCUGCAUAUUUCAGGACAUGACAUAUGAAGGGUGUAAUGAGAGACCCAUGGGGGGGGGGGAUACUUUACUCGUCAAUGAUUUAGAAGAAAACGUUGACCUAAAAAAAACUGGAAAUCACAUGAUCAUACAUCAUUACAACAGUGGAUGAAUCCAAAUGUUUAUUUAAAUAUUGAAAAUGUGUGGGCUACGGAGAAACAUUCUACAGUGCCAUUUGAGGCCAUAUUUCAUAGAGUUCUACAAGCACCGGAACCUUCCAGGGGAGGACGGAUGAGGGGGGGGGACAUAUGUGAUGUGUACAGUAACAGUGGGAACAUGUGGGUCUGAGCAGGUGUGAUGUCAUUGAUGUUUUGGUAACAUUAGUGGUCUGUUUAUGGUCUUUGUUUAUGCAUGUUGUUAUUGUAAAAUUAUAUUUCAACAUGAAAACACUCACAGUUUACAGUUAUACACUUUACAGUUAUACACUUUACAGUUAACAUUCACACUUUACAGUUAACACUCAUACUUUACAGUUAUACACUUUACAGUUAACACUCAUACUUUACAGUUAUACACUUUACAGUUAACACUCAUACUUUACAGUUAUACACUUUACAGUUAACAUUCACACUUUACAGUUAACACUCAUACUUUACAGUUAUACACUUUACAGUUAACACUCAUACUUUACAGUUAUACACUUUACAGUUAACACUCAUACUUUACAGUUAUAUACUUUACAGUGAACACUCACACUAUACAGGUAACACUCACACUUUACAAUUAUACACUUUACAGUGAACACUCACACUAUACAGGUAACACUCACACUUUACAAUUAUACACUUUACAGUUAACACUCAAACUUUACAAUUAUACACUUUACAGUUAACACUCACACUUUACAGUUCAAACUUUACAGUUAUACACUUUACAGUUAACAUUCACACUUUACAGUAACACUCAUACUUUACAGUUAUACACUUUACAGUGAACACUCACACUAUACAGUUACCCUCACACUUUACAGUUAACAUUCACACUGUACAGUUAUACACUUUACAGUUCACACUCACACUUUACAGUUCACACUCAUAGUUAACACUCAAACAUCAAAACAUCAAUAUACACACUUAGUGCCACAUUAUAUUUGGCUCUGUUGUAUCAAAGGCCCUAUAGUUUCCUAAUGUCCCUGGGCCUAUACGGCUGUAUAUGGGGCUACAUAUAGGGGCUAUACCCCAAACUGGAAAUGAUCACAUCUGGAAUGCUAUAGGUUCACUCUCUGCCUUAAAUGAGUCAGCUGGGAUCUGAAAACAGAGACAGAACGUUCCUCAUCUGUCUGAACUCUUAACCAUCUCAGAGACAAGACGUUUCUCAUCUGUCUGAACUCUUAACCAUCUCAGAGACAAGACGUUUCUCAUGUGUCUGAACUCUUAAACCAUCUCAGAGACAAGACGUUCCUCAUCUGUCUGAACUCUUAAACCAUCUCAGAGACAAGACGUUUCUCAUCUGUCUGAACUCUUAACCAUCUCAGAGACAAGACGUUUCUCAUCUGUCUGAACUCUUAACCAUCUCAGAGACAAGACGUUCCUCAUCUGUCUGAACUCUUAACCAUCUCAGAGACAAGACGUUUCUCAUCUGUCUGAACUCUUAACCAUCUCAGAGACGAGACGUUCCUCAUCUGUCUGAACUCUUAACCAUCUCAGAGACAAGACGUUUCUCAUCUGUCUGAACCCUUAACCAUCUCAGAGACAAGACAUUUCUCAUCUGUCUGAACCCUUAACCAUCUCAGAGACAAGAUGUUUCUCAUCUGUCUGAACUCUUAACCAUCUCAGAGACAAGACGUUUCUCAUCUGUCUGAACUCUUAACCAUCUCAGAGACAAGACGUUUCUCAUCUGUCUGAACUUUUAACCAUCUCAGAGACAAGACGUUUCUCAUCUGUCUGAACUCUUAACCAUCUCAGAGACAAGACGUUUCUCAUCUGUCUGAACUCUUAACCAUCUCAGAGACAAGGCGUUUCUCAUCUGUCUGAACUCUUUACCCUCUCAGAGACAAAGGCUGGGGAUCCCUGAUUAGAGGGGAAUCACCCAUGUGCUGUCCCAGGUUUAAAUCAAGCCCUGAUUAGAGAGGAAUCACCCACGUGCUGUUCCAGGUCUAAAUCAGGCCCAGAUUAGAGAGGAAUCGCCCACGUGUUGUCCCAGGUCUAAAUCAGGACCUGAUUAUAGGGGAAUCACCCACGUGCUGUUCCAGGUCUAAAUCAGGCCCUGAUUAUAGGGGAAUCGCCCACGUGUUGUCCUAGGUCUAAAUCAGGACCUGAUUAUAGGGGAAUCGCCCACGUGCUGUUCCAGGUCUAAAUCAGGCCCUGAUUAUAGGGGAAUCGCCCACGUGUUGUCCCAGGUCUAAAUCAGGCCCUGAUUAGAGGGGAAUCGCCCACGUGCUGUCCCAGGUGUAAAUCAGGCCCUGAUUAUAGGGGAACAAUGAUAAAAGCAGCAGAACAGUCUUCCCAGGGCCAGAGUUGAAUUUGAGGAUUACAGGGAAAAGGAUGCCAUUUCAAACACACCCAUAAUGUUUCUAAACCAUCUCUUCCUCUGGCUGCUAAACUGGGGAGUCCAACAGCGUCUAACUGAGUCACACUAACUGGCUAUAAGGAUUAUUAUAAUAACUGGCUAGAACCAUGGAACCAGAGUUGAGAACUGGCUAGAACCAUGGAACCAUAGUUGAGAACUGGUUAGAACUGGCUAGAACCAGGGAACCAUAGUUGAGAACUGGUUAGAACUGGCUAGAACCAUAGUUUAGAACUGGUUAAAACCAUAGAACCAUGCCUGUCUGUCUGUCUGGCCUAGAUUCUAAUACGCUACAGGAAUCUCUAUGCACCCUGACUAGAACACACAGCUGUGAUGCGAUUCGGAGGUUGACAUUAAUAAGGAUUCUAGAGAAAACGUGAUGAUCUGAACCAUGUGUGUCUGUGAUGUAAUUACACGUCUUUGUGAUGACGAAGAGCACAACUCUUUAUUGAUGAAACACUCGCCUGUCUGAACCUCUGCGUAGUCUAAUAUCGGGGCGCUGCUAUUGGCCCGUGAGCACAAAGGGGGAAAUCCGAUUGGUUGUGGCGGUGCUUUGCUUGGUUUUCUAUGUAACUCUGUUUCUUGGCAAAUUUAAUGAAACUGUUUUUUUUCUUCUUUUCAUAAUGUGGCAUUUGUAUUUCAACUUAAAGCCCAAUAAAACUUCACAGUGUAAAAAGUUC